ACAGUCGAACGAGUUCUGAUUAUUGAAAGGUGCUUGCAUCUUGAUUUAAUUUUGAACGAGUGGCGGACGGGUGAGUAACACGUGGGUAACCUGCCCUUAAGUGGGGGAUAACAUUUGGAAACAGAUGCUAAUACCGCAUAAAUCCAAGAACCGCAUGGUUCUUGGCUGAAAGAUGGCGUAAGCUAUCGCUUUUGGAUGGACCCGCGGCGUAUUAGCUAGUUGGUGAGGUAACGGCUCACCAAGGCAAUGAUACGUAGCCGAACUGAGAGGUUGAUCGGCCACAUUGGGACUGAGCACAGGCCAAACUAAUACGGGAGGCAGCAGUAGGGAAUCUUCCACAAUGGACGCAAGUCUGAUGGAGCAACGCCGCGUGAGUGAAGAAGGCUUUCGGGUCGUAAAACUCUGUUGUUGGAGAAGAAUGGUCGGCAGAGUAACUGUUGUCGGCGUGACGGUAUCCAACCAGAAAGCCACGGCUAACUACGUGCCAGCAGCCGCGGUAAUACGUAGGUGGCAAGCGUUAUCCGGAUUUAUUGGGCGUAAAGCGAGCGCAGGCGGUUUUUUAAGUCUGAUGUGAAAGCCCUCGGCUUAACCGAGGAAGUGCAUCGGAAACUGGGAAACUUGAGUGCAGAAGAGGACAGUGGAACUCCAUGUGUAGCGGUGAAAUGCGUAGAUAUAUGGAAGAACACCAGUGGCGAAGGCGGCUGUCUGGUCUGUAACUGACGCUGAGGCUCGAAAGCAUGGGUAGCGAACAGGAUUAGAUACCCUGGUAGUCCAUGCCGUAAACGAUGAAUGCUAGGUGUUGGAGGGUUUCCGCCCUUCAGUGCCGCAGCUAACGCAUUAAGCAUUCCGCCUGGGGAGUACGACCGCAAGGUUGAAACUCAAAGGAAUUGACGGGGGCCCGCACAAGCGGUGGAGCAUGUGGUUUAAUUCGAAGCAACGCGAAGAACCUUACCAGGUCUUGACAUCUUUUGAUCACCUGAGAGAUCAGGUUUCCCCUUCGGGGGCAAAAUGACAGGUGGUGCAUGGUUGUCGUCAGCUCGUGUCGUGAGAUGUUGGGUUAAGUCCCGCAACGAGCGCAACCCUUAUGACUAGUUGCCAGCAUUUAGUUGGGCACUCUAGUAAGACUGCCGGUGACAAACCGGAGGAAGGUGGGGAUGACGUCAAAUCAUCAUGCCCCUUAUGACCUGGGCUACACACGUGCUACAAUGGAUGGUACAACGAGUUGCGAGACCGCGAGGUCAAGCUAAUCUCUUAAAGCCAUUCUCAGUUCGGACUGUAGGCUGCAACUCGCCUACACGAAGUCGGAAUCGCUAGUAAUCGCGGAUCAGCACGCCGCGGUGAAUACGUUCCCGGGCCUUGUACACACCGCCCGUCACACCAUGAGAGUUUGUAACACCCGAAGCCGGUGGCGUAACCCUUUUAGGGAGCGAGCGACGA
RNAcentral lists this ribosomal RNA (1437 nucleotides) under Lactobacillus sp. RNAcentral describes it as "bacterial SSU rRNA". It matches the Rfam family "Bacterial small subunit ribosomal RNA". Lineage: Bacteria; Bacillati; Bacillota; Bacilli; Lactobacillales; Lactobacillaceae. The record is from RNAcentral.